AUGUCUUCCUCCUUCGGCGCUUCCCUCCCGGCCAGUCUUAAUGGCCAGGUCACCCAGAAGCUAUCCCGCAUGAACUACGUGUUGUGGCGCACGCAGAUGAUCCCCCAACUGCGUGGCGCCGGGGUCUUCGGCUAUGUCGAUGACACCCAGCCAGAGCCGGCAAAGCUGCUCGUCACCACCGACAAGGAAGGAAAGCAGACUUCAACGCCCAACCCUCUCCACCCAAUCUGGGUUCGGGAGGACCAGUAG
RNAcentral lists this ribosomal RNA (249 nucleotides) under Triticum aestivum (bread wheat). RNAcentral describes it as "partial small subunit ribosomal RNA". The record is from RNAcentral. Lineage: Eukaryota; Viridiplantae; Streptophyta; Magnoliopsida; Poales; Poaceae.